Long non-coding RNA from Strigops habroptila (Kakapo), 524 nucleotides. RefSeq lists it as uncharacterized. Lineage: Eukaryota; Metazoa; Chordata; Aves; Psittaciformes; Psittacidae. The transcript is spliced from 3 exons. The record is from RefSeq and is a predicted model, not a curated record.
CAGGGGCUGCAAAUAAUGCUGCUCAUGUGGCUGCAAGUGCCUUCACCCCUGCAAAAGCAGAACCAGAAGAGCUGAAGGUAAGAUGCUGGUGUUUGGGGGCAGGAUUUUCCAUGGGGUGAGGGCAAUGGGGAGCGAUGCUGGGGCUGCUGUUACAGUGGGCUGAGCACUGGGAAGCUCAGCACAUGCCAGGGUGGCUGUGCCCGCUCGGCACAGUGAUGUCCCCAGGACAGCACCUUAUCCUGGAUGUGGGACAAGGCUUCUGGUGCCAGGGUGGCAGCAGCCCCUCAGCAUCCCAGCAGGGCUCAUUGCUGCUUGGGGUGGUUUCUCUCACUGGGGGUGUGCAGGGGACCUCUUUGGACCCUUCUGUGAAAGCAGAAGUUAGGAGAGCUCCCAUCAGAAGCACAGGCAGGGCUCGCAGACCACUAAAGGUUAAGUACCUUCUCGCUGCUUCAGCAGUUCCCCUUCCUGCAAGAGGCUUUGCAAUCCCUUGGCUGCUUGAUGUGCCCAAUCUGUGAGGGCAGGUC